This 2885-nucleotide ribosomal RNA is filed under the name Escherichia coli. RNAcentral's name for it is "bacterial LSU rRNA". It matches the Rfam family "Bacterial large subunit ribosomal RNA". The record is from RNAcentral. Lineage: Bacteria; Pseudomonadati; Pseudomonadota; Gammaproteobacteria; Enterobacterales; Enterobacteriaceae.
ACUAAGCGUACACGGUGGAUGCCCUGGCAGUCAGAGGCGAUGAAGGACGUGCUAAUCUGCGAUAAGCGUCGGUAAGGUGAUAUGAACCGUUAUAACCGGCGAUUUCCGAAUGGGGAAACCCAGUGUGAUUCGUCACACUAUCAUUAACUGAAUCCAUAGGUUAAUGAGGCGAACCGGGGGAACUGAAACAUCUAAGUACCCCGAGGAAAAGAAAUCAACCGAGAUUCCCCCAGUAGCGGCGAGCGAACGGGGAGCAGCCCAGAGCCUGAAUCAGUGUGUGUGUUAGUGGAAGCGUCUGGAAAGGCGUGCGAUACAGGGUGACAGCCCCGUACACAAAAAUGCACAUGCUGUGAGCUCGAUGAGUAGGGCGGGACACGUGGUAUCCUGUCUGAAUAUGGGGGGACCAUCCUCCAAGGCUAAAUACUCCUGACUGACCGAUAGUGAACCAGUACCGUGAGGGAAAGGCGAAAAGAACCCCGGCGAGGGGAGUGAAAAAGAACCUGAAACCGUGUACGUACAAGCAGUGGGAGCACAGAGCAAUCUGUGUGACUGCGUACCUUUUGUAUAAUGGGUCAGCGACUUAUAUUCUGUAGCAAGGUUAACCGAAUAGGGGAGCCGAAGGGAAACCGAGUCUUAACUGGGCGUUAAGUUGCAGGGUAUAGACCCGAAACCCGGUGAUCUAGCCAUGGGCAGGUUGAAGGUUGGGUAACACUAACUGGAGGACCGAACCGACUAAUGUUGAAAAAUUAGCGGAUGACUUGUGGCUGGGGGUGAAAGGCCAAUCAAACCGGGAGAUAGCUGGUUCUCCCCGAAAGCUAUUUAGGUAGCGCCUCGUGAAUUCAUCUCCGGGGGUAGAGCACUGUUUCGGCAAGGGGGUCAUCCCGACUUACCAACCCGAUGCAAACUGCGAAUACCGGAGAAUGUUAUCACGGGAGACACACGGCGGGUGCUAACGUCCGUCGUGAAGAGGGAAACAACCCAGACCGCCAGCUAAGGUCCCAAAGUCAUGGUUAAGUGGGAAACGAUGUGGGAAGGCCCAGACAGCCAGGAUGUUGGCUUAGAAGCAGCCAUCAUUUAAAGAAAGCGUAAUAGCUCACUGGUCGAGUCGGCCUGCGCGGAAGAUGUAACGGGGCUAAACCAUGCACCGAAGCUGCGGCAGCGACGCUUAUGCGUUGUUGGGUAGGGGAGCGUUCUGUAAGCCUGCGAAGGUGUGCUGUGAGGCAUGCUGGAGGUAUCAGAAGUGCGAAUGCUGACAUAAGUAACGAUAAAGCGGGUGAAAAGCCCGCUCGCCGGAAGACCAAGGGUUCCUGUCCAACGUUAAUCGGGGCAGGGUGAGUCGACCCCUAAGGCGAGGCCGAAAGGCGUAGUCGAUGGGAAACAGGUUAAUAUUCCUGUACUUGGUGUUACUGCGAAGGGGGGACGGAGAAGGCUAUGUUGGCCGGGCGACGGUUGUCCCGGUUUAAGCGUGUAGGCUGGUUUUCCAGGCAAAUCCGGAAAAUCAAGGCUGAGGCGUGAUGACGAGGCACUACGGUGCUGAAGCAACAAAUGCCCUGCUUCCAGGAAAAGCCUCUAAGCAUCAGGUAACAUCAAAUCGUACCCCAAACCGACACAGGUGGUCAGGUAGAGAAUACCAAGGCGCUUGAGAGAACUCGGGUGAAGGAACUAGGCAAAAUGGUGCCGUAACUUCGGGAGAAGGCACGCUGAUAUGUAGGUGAAGNUGGAGCUGAAAUCAGUCGAAGAUACCAGCUGGCUGCAACUGUUUAUUAAAAACACAGCACUGUGCAAACACGAAAGUGGACGUAUACGGUGUGACGCCUGCCCGGUGCCGGAAGGUUAAUUGAUGGGGUUAGCGCAAGCGAAGCUCUUGAUCGAAGCCCCGGUAAACGGCGGCCGUAACUAUAACGGUCCUAAGGUAGCGAAAUUCCUUGUCGGGUAAGUUCCGACCUGCACGAAUGGCGUAAUGAUGGCCAGGCUGUCUCCACCCGAGACUCAGUGAAAUUGAACUCGCUGUGAAGAUGCAGUGUACCCGCGGCAAGACGGAAAGACCCCGUGAACCUUUACUAUAGCUUGACACUGAACAUUGAGCCUUGAUGUGUAGGAUAGGUGGGAGGCUUUGAAGUGUGGACGCCAGUCUGCAUGGAGCCGACCUUGAAAUACCACCCUUUAAUGUUUGAUGUUCUAACGUUGACCCGUGAUCCGGGUUGCGGACAGUGUCUGGUGGGUAGUUUGACUGGGGCGGUCUCCUCCUAAAGAGUAACGGAGGAGCACGAAGGUUGGCUAAUCCUGGUCGGACAUCAGGAGGUUAGUGCAAUGGCAUAAGCCAGCUUGACUGCGAGCGUGACGGCGCGAGCAGGUGCGAAAGCAGGUCAUAGUGAUCCGGUGGUUCUGAAUGGAAGGGCCAUCGCUCAACGGAUAAAAGGUACUCCGGGGAUAACAGGCUGAUACCGCCCAAGAGUUCAUAUCGACGGCGGUGUUUGGCACCUCGAUGUCGGCUCAUCACAUCCUGGGGCUGAAGUAGGUCCCAAGGGUAUGGCUGUUCGCCAUUUAAAGUGGUACGCGAGCUGGGUUUAGAACGUCGUGAGACAGUUCGGUCCCUAUCUGCCGUGGGCGCUGGAGAACUGAGGGGGGCUGCUCCUAGUACGAGAGGACCGGAGUGGACGCAUCACUGGUGUUCGGGUUGUCAUGCCAAUGGCACUGCCCGGUAGCUAAAUGCGGAAGAGAUAAGUGCUGAAAGCAUCUAAGCACGAAACUUGCCCCGAGAUGAGUUCUCCCUGACUCCUUGAGAGUCCUGAAGGAACGUUGAAGACGACGACGUUGAUAGGCCGGGUGUGUAAGCGCAGCGAUGCGUUGAGCUAACCGGUACUAAUGAACCGUGAGGCUUAACC